This 272-nucleotide unclassified non-coding RNA is filed under the name uncultured fungus. RNAcentral describes it as "partial contains 18S rRNA, ITS1, 5.8S rRNA, ITS2 and 28S rRNA". The record is from RNAcentral. Lineage: Eukaryota; Fungi.
AGGGAUCAUUAACAUACACAUCAUGUUGAGGCAUGGCAUAGGGACCCUAGAGGUCUCUUUGUCAUACCAUAUACAUAUACACACCCAUGAACCUACUCAUACAUACACCCACACUUGGCCGAUAUGGACACUUACAUUAGUUCUCUACUGGGACCGAGUGGAGUCCCAUAUCGUCCUCCCCAUUUCUUCCCCCUUUUUUUCUCCCUCACUAUAUGCUAUGCUCCCUACAUACAAUCUAUAUAUCACUCCUAGCAAUGGAUAUCUAGGUUCUC